GUCAACCCUCAUCCCAAAAAUCAGAAUCUAAAAAUAAUUUUAAGUUAUGGAAAUAAAAUAAAUGAAAAAAAGUGUGUUAAAAUGGCCUAUUUGAAACAAAUAAUUGAAAUAAAAUACUAGCAUUAAAUAAAAACGAAAAUAAAAAUUAAAAUAAAUUAAAUAAGACAAUAAGGAAAGUAAAAAAUAUUUUUUGGCAUUUUUGUGAACAAAUAAAAUAUUUUUAAUAAUUAAAAGUAAAACAGAAAAAUAAAGUGGAAAUAAAAAGAAAUGAAAAGAAAUGAAAGAGUAUCAUGGCAAUGGGCUUUGUGUGUGGGUGUGAAUAGCAAGCGGGUAAAGGCCCGGUCCAGCGGAGCAUUCAGCAUGUGACCAAAAAUAACAAAAA
Molecule: long non-coding RNA, 382 nt
Filed under: Lathyrus oleraceus (garden pea)
Lineage: Eukaryota; Viridiplantae; Streptophyta; Magnoliopsida; Fabales; Fabaceae
Description: Pisum sativum (pea) long non-coding RNA (PSAT_LNC016572)
Source: RNAcentral